Oryza sativa Japonica Group (Japanese rice) is the source of this 198-nucleotide microRNA precursor. It matches the Rfam family "MIR812 microRNA precursor family". Lineage: Eukaryota; Viridiplantae; Streptophyta; Magnoliopsida; Poales; Poaceae. The record is from Rfam.
AAUAAGUGUAGUUUUGCACUGUUCAUGUCCAAUGUUUGACCGUCCGUCUUAUUUGAAAAUUUUUUUUAUGAUUAGUAUUUUUGUUAUUAUUAGAUGAUAAAACAUGAAUAGUAUUUUGUGUGACUAAUUUUUUCUUAAACUUUUCAAAUAAGACAGACGGUCAAACGUUGGACACAGAAACCCACGGUUAUACUUAUU